AUUUAUAAGCAUGGAAAUCCCCUGAGUGAAACAACGAAUUGCUGUGUGUAGUCUUUGCCCAUCUCCCACGAUGGGCUUUUUUUUGU
Molecule: antisense RNA, 86 nt
Filed under: Acinetobacter baumannii
Lineage: Bacteria; Pseudomonadati; Pseudomonadota; Gammaproteobacteria; Moraxellales; Moraxellaceae
Description: partial antisense sRNA RprA
Rfam family: RprA RNA
About the family: Translational regulation of the stationary phase sigma factor RpoS is mediated by the formation of a double-stranded RNA stem-loop structure in the upstream region of the rpoS messenger RNA, occluding the translation initiation site. Clones carrying rprA (RpoS regulator RNA A) increased the translation of RpoS.
Source: RNAcentral